UACUAGAGUAGCACUCGCAUAUCAAUAAGCGGAGGAAAAGAAACUAACAAGGAUUCCCCUAGUAACGGCGAGUGAAGCGGGAAGAGCUCAAAUUUGAAAUCUUAAAGGGUUUCCCUUUACGAAUUGUAGUUUAAAGAAGUGUUUUCUGUUGAGGUUUUGGUAAAAGUUCUUUGGAAUAGGACAUCAUAGAGGGUGAGAAUCCCGUAUUUGACCUUUACUUUCAACUUUGUGAUACACUUUCAAAGAGUCGGAUUGUUUGGGAAUGCAGUCCAAAAUGGGUGGUAAAUUUCAUCUAAAGCUAAAUAUUGGCGAGAGACCGAUAGCGAACAAGUACCGUGAGGGAAGGAUGAAAAGAACUUUGAAAAGAGAGUUAAACAGUACGUGAAAUUGUCAAAAGGGAAGCGUUUGACACCAGUGUUGUUUUUCUGAAAAUCAAUUAAAGAACUGUUUAUGCUAAGCUGUUUAGACUUUAUCAGCUAAUCUGUUUAGUUUUGAGCUUUUCUUUAAUGCACUUUUCAGUUAACAAGUCAACAUCAAUUUCUUUUGCUGUAAAAAAGCUUGAGGAAGGUGGCUUGAGAUUCGUCUUAAGUGUUUAUAGCCUCUUGCCUAUGCAGUCGGAGAGAUUGAGGUCUGCAGCGUAGAUCCUUCGGGGCUAAAUGCAUUUGUGCUAAGUUAUAGCAUUUUAUAGACAACUUGUUGACUAUGAUUUGUCUUGUAGCUUACUCGCUUAUGUUAUUUUACCUACGCUUAGGAUGUUGAGCGCAUGUCUCUCUCU
This 775-nucleotide ribosomal RNA is filed under the name uncultured Neocallimastigales. RNAcentral describes it as "partial large subunit ribosomal RNA". It matches the Rfam family "Eukaryotic large subunit ribosomal RNA", at positions 20 to 616 of the family's 3401-position model. The record is from RNAcentral. Lineage: Eukaryota; Fungi; Neocallimastigomycota; Neocallimastigomycetes; Neocallimastigales.